AUUGAACGCUGGCGGCAUGCCUUACACAUGCAAGUCGAACGGUAACGCGGGGCAACCUGGCGACGAGUGGCGAACGGGUGAGUAAUACAUCGGAACGUGCCCAGUAGUGGGGGAUAGCCCGGCGAAAGCCGGAUUAAUACCGCAUACGACCUACGGGUGAAAGCGGGGGAUCGCAAGACCUCGCGCUAUUGGAGCGGCCGAUGUCAGAUUAGGUAGUUGGUGGGGUAAAGGCCUACCAAGCCUACGAUCUGUAGCUGGUCUGAGAGGACGACCAGCCACACUGGGACUGAGACACGGCCCAGACUCCUACGGGAGGCAGCAGUGGGGAAUUUUGGACAAUGGGCGCAAGCCUGAUCCAGCCAUGCCGCGUGCGGGAAGAAGGCCUUCGGGUUGUAAACCGCUUUUGUCAGGGAAGAAACGCUCUGGGUUAAUACCCCGGGGUAAUGACGGUACCUGAAGAAUAAGCACCGGCUAACUACGUGCCAGCAGCCGCCGUAAGAC
This 501-nucleotide ribosomal RNA is filed under the name uncultured bacterium. Its description in RNAcentral is "bacterial SSU rRNA". It matches the Rfam family "Bacterial small subunit ribosomal RNA", at positions 29 to 526 of the family's 1533-position model. The record is from RNAcentral.